GUUUCCAUAGUGUAGUGGUUAUCACGUCGGCCUAACACGCAGAAGGUCCUCAGUUCGAUCCUGGGUGGAAACA
This 73-nucleotide transfer RNA is filed under the name Daphnia pulicaria. Its description in RNAcentral is "tRNA-Val". It matches the Rfam family "tRNA". Rfam says of the family: Transfer RNA (tRNA) molecules are approximately 80 nucleotides in length. Lineage: Eukaryota; Metazoa; Arthropoda; Branchiopoda; Diplostraca; Daphniidae. The record is from RNAcentral.